UACGGAGGAUCCAAGCGUUAUCCGGAUUCAUUGGGUUUAAAGGGUGCGUAGGCGGACUGAUAAGUCAGCGGUGAAAUCUCUCGGCUCAACCGAGAAACUGCCGUUGAUACUGUUAGUCUUGAAUGCAGAUGAUGUGGGCGGAAUAUGACAUGUAGUGGUGAAAUGCUUAGAUAUGUCAUAGAACACCGAUUGCGAAGGCAGCUCACAAAACUGUGAUUGACGCUGAUGCACGAAAGCGUGGGGAGCAAACAGG
Molecule: ribosomal RNA, 253 nt
Filed under: uncultured bacterium
Lineage: Bacteria
Description: partial 16S ribosomal RNA
Rfam family: Bacterial small subunit ribosomal RNA
Source: RNAcentral